AUGAAAAACUCAAACUUGUCGAACUCGUUUCCGGUGAGGGUUGGCCUCCGCCAGGGCUGCCCUUUGUCACCGAUUCUGUUCAUAAUUUUUAUGGACAGAAUUUCUAGGUGCAGUCAUGGUGUUGAGGGGAUCUGGUUUGGUGACCUCAGGAUCGCGUCUCUGCUUUUUGCGGAUGAUGUGGUCCUGUUGGCUUCAUCGGCCCGUGACCUCCAACUAUCACUGGAUCGGUUCGCCGCCGCCUGUGAAGCGGCUGGGAUGAGAAUCAGCACCUCCAAAUCCGAGGCCAUGGUUCUCGACCGGAAAAAGGUGGAGUGCCUUCUCCAGGUAAAGGAGGAGAUCCUGCCCCAAGUGGAGGAGUUUAAGUACCUCGGGGUCUUGUUCACGAGUGGGGGAAGAAUGGAGCGGGAGAUCGACAGGCGGAUCGGUGUGGCGUCCACAGUAAUGCGGACUCUGCACCGGUCCGUUGUGGUGAAGAGAGAGCUGAGCCGAAAGGCUGAAAUGAGCUUCCUCCGUAGGGUGGCUGGGCUCUCCCUUAGAGAGGGUGAGAAGCUCUGCCAUCCGGGAGGAGCUCGGAGUAGAGCCGCUGCUCCUCCACGUUGAGAGGAGCCAGAUGAGGUGGCUUGGGCAUCUAGUUAGGAUGCCCCCUGGAGGCCUCCCUGGUUAGGUGCAUGUCCCUCUGGUAGGAGGCCCCCCGGGAAGACCCAGGACAUGUUGGAGAGGCUACCACCGGACGAGCUGGAAGAAGUAGCUGGGGAGAGGGAAGUCUGGGCCUCUCUGCUUAGGCUGCUGCCCCCGCGACCUGACCCCGGAUAAGCGGUAGAGGAUGGUAUGGCAUGGUAUGGUAUGGAGGCUUUUUCAAACAUUCUGGGAAAAAUGACAUUCUGAACACUAAGCCUGUGUUUAGGUUGGAUGGGAGAGACGUUGCUGGGACACAUCAAAGUGGUGAGAAAAAACAUUUAUUGGGGAAAAAAAAGUGAGAAAUAAUGAAAUAAUAAAAGUGAGUCCAUAUUUUUGAGUAGUGUGCAGCGUUUUUUUAAAUGAUGGUCUAACUAUGCCUGAGCAGGUUCCCAUUACCCCAGUCCCACUCGCUUCACCAAUUCACUUUUACCUGAAGGUGAUUACUUGUGCCGUUGGGGACAAGAAUCUGUGUAGAUCUUUCUGGUGGUCUGACCUCAGGCAAGAUGAGUUUCUUCCCUUUGAAGUUGAGCACAUCUGAAAAGAGGCCCAUCUAGACUUGAGUGAUAGACUUGACACUGAUCAUCAUGUUCCUGUUGCUUUGUUGCUCACCACCUCACAUUUCUGCGCUUCUCAAUUCAGACAUCUCCAAUCAAUUUGUGUUGUGUUUGUAAUCACAACCAGCUGACCACAGAGGUGUGGUGUUUGGGCUACGUUGGUCUAAGGCCAUGCAGGAUUUGAGUCCCGCAUAGACAGGGAUCUGGACCAAACUAUUAGGUUCUGGAGUUGGAAAGUGCAAACAACAACCAACCCCUUUACCACAAAGGGGAAUCAAUAUAGGAGAUAUUCCUCUAUUCUGUUUUAAAUGAUUAAUUUAAAAAAACAUUUGGGAAGUAUAAUGUUGGUGCAGUGUGAACACAAUUGUCAACACUGAGUCCUGUUGUUUGACCUGUCAUUAGUCAAGUGCAGUGGAACAUGUGUCAUGAAAUGAUGAUUAAAAGCUUGAACAAUAACACCAUGGCUUAAACUCACCCAUAACCCUGGCAUUUGUGGUUGGAAAAAAGACUCACAGCAAUGGGAAAAAGACAACACAUUUGUUCUUAAAUUGAUUUUUUUCAUGUUAAUUUUAUGAAAAGGUUUGGGUCCUCUAUGUUGUCUCAUGCAUCCCUCUUUCUUUGUUUGUUCGGCUUAUUAAAGCUUGACAUUUAUUAGCCUGGUGUUCAUUUUCAUUAGGGCUUUUAGUUCCAUUAGCCUCUGAAGUUCCCCUUUUAUGUGUCUGAGAAUGUUUAUCUAGCUGUGCAGACUGGCGCAGACAGGGGCUGGCAGGGAGGAAGGCAUGAUUAAACACAGCAUGCCAAAAGUGGUCACUCAACAGACCAUCAGUGACAAGUGGUUCAGUCGGUGAUGUCAAAGUAAACCAUUUUGCUGUGAUACACCCCUCCUGUCGCCUCCAACCAUGUACACACACUGGCUGCAUUCACUAGUCUUCUAAUUGGUUAUUUGCCUAAAGGAUAUGAACUCAAGUGUCUGUGUUGUCUUGGCUGGGAAAGACAAAGAAAAUCGAGGGCUGCAGGUCACACUGGAGACCCCUCGGGGGAAUUUCUGAGCACUUCACAGGAUUAUUUAGAAUAACUUUCAUCUUAAUUGCCAUGGAUGGCAGCUUGCAGAGUGUUCUGACCUUUUGACCUCUUCCUCUUUUCUCUCGCUCUCUCCAAACUGUUUUCUUUUUUUGAUGGGGGGGGGGGUUCCAAAAUGUGAAGUGUCUUACAGAUCUG
RNAcentral lists this long non-coding RNA (2450 nucleotides) under Takifugu rubripes (torafugu). RNAcentral's name for it is "lncRNA (ENSTRUG00000027882.1)". Lineage: Eukaryota; Metazoa; Chordata; Actinopteri; Tetraodontiformes; Tetraodontidae. The record is from RNAcentral.